RNAcentral lists this long non-coding RNA (814 nucleotides) under Mytilus galloprovincialis (Mediterranean mussel). The record is from RNAcentral. Lineage: Eukaryota; Metazoa; Mollusca; Bivalvia; Mytilida; Mytilidae.
UGUAAUAUAAAAGAAAAUUGAAAACAACACUGCAGCUCUAGUCUAGACUAAAAAUCCUCCUAAAUUUUGUAGUGAUCUUGUAUUCUGAACCUAUAACACAUCAAGCUUGUGAUGUUUAAUGUUUUACAAUUAAUAACAGGACUAAAACAAUCAUGUCAAAUAAGUUUCAUCCCAAUCAUGGUUAUGGAAUGUGCAAAUUGUAAGUCUAGGUUAGUCUUUUCAUGCAUGGCUUUCCUUGAAAUUAUGCUGAAUUAAAUAUAAUUUUUUUCUUUUGGUCUUUAGUAAAAUCUAUCUAAAUAUUUCCAAUGAACACAAUGACAACACAUGGUUUCUUUGCAAUGCACAACUACAAAUAUUCAUAAACAGAAGUCAGUAUUCUUAUAAAACGUAUAACAUAUUAAAUAAUAUUAAUGAUUAAUUCAUAACAUGUUCUUAGCAAAUAAAAUUCUUAUCUAGUAGUUGACAUCUUCAAAAAAAGAAAUCAGUUGUGUCUGAUAUGGUCAUUGCACCAAAAAACUAUGACAAUACACAAUUAUUUGUUAAUAAUCUAGCUGAUAGAUGCUAAAAAUCAACUAACAAAAAAAUCAAAGAUAAUAGUUUUUGUGUUGUUUUUUUUAAUUUCCAAGUAAAAACUGGAAGAUUGAUUAUAAUAUAUAUAUAUACAUGAAUAUAGAUGGCACAUUUUCUUAAGGCAUUACCACAAUUUUUCAAUUCAGGACAUUGUACUGAACAUGCAUAAAAUACUUGCCAUUGGAUAUCAGAAAAACAUAAUCAAUCUAUGAAUUAUGUAUUGACAAAAUAUAUCAAUUUCCUU